GUGCUUGCUUCGGCAGCACAUAUACUAAAAUUGGAACGAUACAGAGAAGAUUAGCAUGGUCCCUCUCUCUAAGACUACAUAAAAAUAAAACUUAAGGAAUCAAAUUCC
Molecule: small nuclear RNA, 108 nt
Organism: Artibeus jamaicensis (Jamaican fruit-eating bat)
Lineage: Eukaryota; Metazoa; Chordata; Mammalia; Chiroptera; Phyllostomidae
Source: RefSeq, a predicted model, not a curated record